Long non-coding RNA from Prunus dulcis (almond), 462 nucleotides. RefSeq lists it as uncharacterized. The transcript is spliced from 2 exons. The record is from RefSeq and is a predicted model, not a curated record. Lineage: Eukaryota; Viridiplantae; Streptophyta; Magnoliopsida; Rosales; Rosaceae.
AAAUGUGUGCUCUCUCUGAUCCUCUCCACUCCACGCCACACCAUCUCUCUCAUAUUACAAAGUACUUGGAAUUUCAAGCCAUGAAAUGAUUGCAAGAAGAAACAAAGCAAAUCAGAAGCUGGAGUUGUGCUUCCACCAAUUACAAAGAGGCCAGCCGGAAGACCACCAACAAAGAGGAUCAAAGUUUUUGGUGAAUUUAAAAGGCCAUUGAAAUGCAGUCGGUGCAGUGUUGCUGGGCACAAUAGGAAGACUUGCAAGGCUAUUAUAUGAACACUCCUUCUCAUUUGACAAUUUUUUAUUUUAGAUAUGGUUUAGCGAAUGUAUAGUCAGUUUCUGCGUUGCACUUUUUGCAAAAACUGUAUUGCAGUUUUAGUUGCUUGUAAUUGGCUACACAGCUUCUAAUUGGAUAUUGUGAUUCUUUUUUGAAGUUAAUGAAAAUUAUACAAUUGUUUAAUGAGUGGA